GUCAUGCUAGAGCACUUUUUCAAUGGGCUCCCCAACGACAAGGCGACAACGCAUUUGUAUGUCAUCCAUAUCAACUUUCGAUGCCACUUACUGCACCUACCACGCGUAACGGGGAUUCAGGGUUCGAUUACGGAGAGGGAGCCUGAGAAACGGCUACCACAUGCAAGGAAGGCAACAGGCG
Molecule: non-coding RNA, 181 nt
Organism: Pelobates cultripes (western spadefoot toad)
Lineage: Eukaryota; Metazoa; Chordata; Amphibia; Anura; Pelobatidae
Source: the annotation of a GenBank genome assembly